Camelus ferus (Wild Bactrian camel) is the source of this 73-nucleotide transfer RNA. It matches the Rfam family "tRNA". Rfam says of the family: Transfer RNA (tRNA) molecules are approximately 80 nucleotides in length. Their secondary structure includes four short double-helical elements and three loops (D, anti-codon, and T loops). NCBI's taxonomy places the organism in Eukaryota, Metazoa, Chordata, Mammalia, Artiodactyla, Camelidae. The record is from Rfam.
GAGGGUAUAGUUCAGUGGCAGAGUGCGUGACUAGCAAUGCAUGAAGUCCUGGGUUCAAUCCCCAGUACCUCCA